UUAGUGUUGAGUUAACGCAUUAAGCACUACCGCGUUGGGGAGUAUCGGCCUCAAGGCUGAAACUCAAAGGAAUUGCCGGGGGCCCGCACAAGACGGUGGAGCAUGUGGUUUUAUUCGAAGCACGCGAAGACCUUACCAGGUCUCGACAUCCUCUGAAAACCCUAGAUAUAGGGCUUCUCCUUCGGGAGCAGAGUGACAGGUGGUGCAUGGUUGUCGUCAGCUCGUGUCGUGAGAUGUUGGGUUAAGUCCCGCAACGCAGCGCAACCCUUGAUCUUAGUUGCCAUCAUUAAGUUGGGCACUCUAAGGUGACUGCCGGUGACAAACCGGAGGAAGGUGGGGAUGACGUCAAAUCAUCAUGCCCCUUAUGACCUGGGCUACACACGUGCUACAAUGGACGGUACAAAGAGCUGCAAGACCGCGAGGUGGAGCUAAUCUCAUAAAACCGUUCUCAGUUCGGAUUGUAGGCUGCAACUCGCCUACAUGAAGCUGGAAU
Molecule: ribosomal RNA, 493 nt
Filed under: uncultured Bacillus sp.
Lineage: Bacteria; Bacillati; Bacillota; Bacilli; Caryophanales; Bacillaceae
Description: bacterial SSU rRNA
Rfam family: Bacterial small subunit ribosomal RNA
Source: RNAcentral